AUUGAACGCUGGCGGCAGGCCUAACACAUGCAAGUCGAACGGUAACAGGAAGCAGCUUGCUGCUUCGCUGACGAGUGGCGGACGGGUGAGUAAUGUCUGGGAAGCUGCCUGAUGGAGGGGGAUAACUACUGGAAACGGUAGCUAAUACCGCAUAAUGUCGCAAGACCAAAGAGGGGGACCUUCGGGCCUCUUGCCAUCGGAUGUGCCCAGAUGGGAUUAGCUUGUUGGUGGGGUAACGGCUCACCAAGGCGACGAUCCCUAGCUGGUCUGAGAGGAUGACCAGCCACACUGGGACUGAGACACGGUCCAGACUCCUACGGGAGGCAGCAGUGGGGAAUAUUGCACAAUGGGCGCAAGCCUGAUGCAGCCAUGCCGCGUGUAUGAAGAAGGCCUUCGGGUUGUAAAGUACUUUCAGCGGGGAGGAAGGGAGUAAAGUUAAUACCUUUGCUCAUUGACGUCACCCGCAGAAGAAGCACCGGCUAACUCCGUG
This 490-nucleotide ribosomal RNA is filed under the name uncultured bacterium. RNAcentral's name for it is "partial 16S ribosomal RNA". It matches the Rfam family "Bacterial small subunit ribosomal RNA", at positions 30 to 507 of the family's 1533-position model. The record is from RNAcentral.